AGGGCUGAGCAUAUGGGUAACCCG
Molecule: non-coding RNA, 24 nt
Filed under: Arabidopsis thaliana (thale cress)
Lineage: Eukaryota; Viridiplantae; Streptophyta; Magnoliopsida; Brassicales; Brassicaceae
Source: RNAcentral